GACGAACGCUGGCGGCGUGCUUAACACAUGCAAGUCGAACGGAAAGGCCCUGCUUUUGUGGGGUGCUCGAGUGGCGAACGGGUGAGUAACACGUGAGUAACCUGCCCUUGACUGUGGGAUAAAUUAAGGAAACUGGGGCUAAUACCGGAUAGGAGCUCCUGAUGCAUGGUGGGGGUUGGAAAGUUUCGGCGGUUGGGGAUGGACUCGCGGCGGAUCAGCUUGUUGGUGGGGUAGUGGCUUACCAAGGCUUUGACGGGUAGCCGGCCUGAGAGGGUGACCGGCCACAUUGGGACUGAGAUACGUCCCAGACUCCUACGGGAGGCAGCAGUGGGGAAUAUUGCACAAUGGGCGGAAGCCUGAUGCAGCAACGCCGCGUGCGGGAUGACGGCCUUCGGGUUGUAAACCGCUUUCGCCUGUGACGAAGCGUGAGUGACGGUAAUGGGUAAAAAAGCACCGGCUAACUACGUG
RNAcentral lists this ribosomal RNA (468 nucleotides) under uncultured bacterium. RNAcentral describes it as "partial 16S ribosomal RNA". It matches the Rfam family "Bacterial small subunit ribosomal RNA", at positions 28 to 507 of the family's 1533-position model. The record is from RNAcentral.